CUGCGCCCUGGGCGAGUGUUGCGGCCCCAAGCGGGUCGAAGGAGGUAAUUUCGCGGGUGGGGGAGGGUGGAGGAGACCUUGAUUUCCACCAAUCCCGGGGCGCGUGUCUGCGGAGUCCAGGGCGCAGCGGAAGGCUGCGGCGCGCCGCUGAAUGAACUGAUGAGAGCGAGUUCUCAGCUUGCCUGGGAGGGGAGCGGAGCGAGGGUCCCGGCAGGCACGGCAGAGGCGCCGGGGGCGGGCUAGCGGUCCCGGGCCGCCGUGGAAAUUUCCAAGGACUUGGCGCGGCGGGGAGAGCACGUCUUGUGGGGUGCCCGGCACCGCGGCGGCGCAGGAGGCGGGGGAAAGGGCGGUGCAGGGCGCAGGAGCAUCUUUAUCUGGAAGGGACACAGCGGGUCAGAUGUCCGGGAUCCAGCCGCACCUCUUCCACAACCCCAGCCGAGGUCAGCUGUGAUGCUGUAGUAAGGGCAGCAGCAGCUGGCCCCGCUGCUCUCGCCUAGACCCCUCGUCGCCUACCUCUGCAGGGAAAGGGACCAUGGCUCGUGACUUGCCCGGAGGCCACUUCCUCUAGCAAGAUAUCCGUGGGAAAAGUUGCAUUGGCGAAGAUCCUUGUAGCUGACCUCUGGGGCCGUAGUGGGGGUCCCCCAGCUGUGCGUGUGCAUGCAAGAAAGCCAAAGGUGUGUGUGCAUGGGGGGCUGGCCGUGGAGUCACCCUCUCCUGCCACUUCGUCUGGCAUUGUGCUGAGGCUCCCACGACAGACCCUGGAUGCCGAGGCUGUGAUGAGCCCCUGCGGGCGGGCCCGGCGACACACGUCCAGAGGGGCCAUGGCCAUGCUGGCAUGGAAGUUCCCGCGUACUAGGCUACCGGUGGGAGCCAGUGCCCUCUGUGUAGUGGUCCUCUGUUGGCUCUACAUCUUCCCUGUCUACCGGCUACCCAACGAGAAGGAGAUCGUGCAAGGGGUGCUGGCACAGCGCAUGGCUUGGAGGAGGAACCAGACCGCUGCCAGGCUCUUCAGGAAACAAAUGGAAGACUGUUGCGAUCCCACCCAUCUCUUUGCUAUGACUAAGAUGAAUUCUCCCAUGGGGAAGAGCCUGUGGUAUGAUGGGGAGUUUUUGUACUCAUUCACCAUUGACAAUUCCACAUAUUCCCUCUUCCCCCAGGCAACCCCCUUCCAGCUGCCAUUGAAGAAAUGUGCGGUGGUGGGAAACGGUGGGAUUCUGAAGAUGAGUGGCUGUGGCCGUCAAAUAGAUGAAGCAAAUUUUGUCAUGCGAUGUAAUCUCCCUCCUUUGUCAAGUGACUACACCAGGGAUGUUGGAUCCAAAACUCAGUUGGUGACAGCUAAUCCCAGCAUAAUUCGACAGAGGUUUCAAAACCUGUUGUGGUCCAGAAAGACGUUUGUGGACAACAUGAAGAUCUAUAACCACAGCUUUAUUUACAUGCCUGCCUUCUCUAUGAAGACAGGAACAGAGCCCUCUCUUCGUGUGUAUUACACACUGAAAGAUGUUGGUGCCAAUCAAACAGUGCUUUUUGCUAACCCUAACUUUCUGCGGAACAUUGGAAAGUUCUGGAAGAGUAGGGGGAUCCAUGCCAAGCGCCUGUCUACAGGACUCUUUCUGGUGAGCGCAGCCUUGGGCCUUUGUGAGGAGGUGGCCAUCUAUGGCUUCUGGCCCUUCUCUGUGAAUAUGCAGGAGGAGCCCAUUAGUCACCACUACUACGACAAUGUUUUGCCCUACUCAGGCUUCCAUGCCAUGCCUGAGGAAUUUCUCCAACUCUGGUACCUUCAUAAAAUUGGUGCAUUGAGGAUGCAGCUAGACCCAUGUGAGGAACCAUCGCUUCAGCCCACUUCCUAGGGAUCAUAAAAUAAGAAAGGACUGGGCAGGGUAUUUUUGCUAGGUUUUCUAUGUGACUUCUAAAAGGAAUGGCCAAGUAUGUCAUGGAUUGGCACGAUAGGAAACAAACAAAAACUCAAGCAAAACUUUGCUUUUGAUGUUGGCUUGGAGAACAAUAAGAAGUAAAAUGUUCUGGGGGAACAUUUUAUAUUGUGCUGUGGAUCUGCAACAGGGACAACACCAAGGAGACAAUGCUGGCAGAUCACGUGUCUGUGGUUCAAAUCUAGAAGAUGCAAUUCAAGGACCAGAUGAACUCUAAUUGCUGAGGCUGAGGGGCUCAUCAUGGCAGCAUGUGGGAGAUGCUGGGGUAUUGCUGACUGUCAAUAUACACUGGCAUCAUUGUCAUUUUAAAAGACCUGUCUUAUUGAGACUGGCAUUAGAACUGUAGGUUUUUAAAAAGUAUUAUUUAUUUUUGCCCUGUUUAGGGCUAUGGGUGGGUGAUGGGGUAGACUUACAAAAUCCUUCCUGCCGAUUUUUGUGGUUCAUUAAAAUAAGUCUAUGUUGACUAUAGUCCCCUUCGCUAGUACAAUUUUAAAUAAGAAUUGCUUCUUGCCUCUUCGGUUAAGUCUAUCUACUUAGCAUGAAGCUCUGUUGAAGUUAGACUGUGUUGAUUCAUAGUCUAGAUAACAUGAGACACUUCCUUUCCUCAGAAGUUGAGAGAGAAACUCAAUUUUAGGUCCCCAUUACAUCAACCCAUUGGCUGUGUUGCUAUUAUUUUCACAAAAUGACUACACAUGCAAGUACAGUCUUUACUUGUACAGUGGCAAGAGCCACUUCCUUUACUGAGAGGUGAAGUAGGUCACAGCGAGUAAGAACUUUGUCUCUGAGGCAGACAGACCAGAAGGCAGGGGGCCCUUUCCUCUUUAACAUGAAUAUUUCCCUUCAAGAUAACUCCUGUGUGUGCACAUAUGAAUGUUUUCUUUCAAGAUAAUGUGUGUGUAUGUGCACAUGACUAUAGACACAUACGCUCUGACACACUCUAUGAAGUAAUCAAAGAUUAUUCUCGUGUGACUGUGAAAACUGUGUGCAUGGCCUGGUAUUGGAGAGCUGAAAGAAAGGACAGAAUCCAUCCCAUAUUGACGUAAGUGGAGCUGGCACAGCAGUUGCUGUCAGUUUGCAUGCCAGCACAGGGUGCACGCUUUACCCUCAAAUACGUAAUCCAGAGUGAAAUCUACUCUCUUACUCAUCCUGCCCCUCCCCCCCAAAUCUCAUGAAUGGGCCUUGAGCAUAGUGACAUGUGACAUAGCUCACGCAAGUGAGCAGGUAGGAGCCGCUUGCUGUGGAUUUCCUUAGUGUGCAGUGGGGCUGCUUGGGCAGCUUGGCACAGAAGCUUUAACACAACACAACAGGGGUACUCUGCUUGCAGAUUACAGCCAAGUGUAUUUACUGUAGGUAAGGGACAAGCAGGGACUUCUUUCAUAGUGUUUGUGCUUUGAGGCAUGUUAGGCUCCAAGGAGAUGUGAAGACUCACGUUUAUUCUUUCAAGUGCUGCCGUGAUGUAGGUAAAAUCGACCCACAAGCUCUACUGCACCGUGCAGGUAGAAACUUAGUAUAUUGAGCAUGUCUAUGAAAACAGGGGACUUUAAAAAGAAGGCUAACUUACAAGAUAUCAGAGUUAUCGAAGAGUUGUACAUCUAGGGGUAGGGAGUUUCCAAAUGUGAUUAAAUAUCCAGGUUAUUGUAGAAAUUAGCAUUUGGACUGAGACUAGGUGCCAGGACAGUGCACAGGUUGUGGUGCUGUUUAGGGAAUGAGGAGUUUGGGAAGCUCACCACUGUGCAGGGCUGGCUUAGGGUUUCUGUCUUGUGCGGCAGCAUCAGUAUAUCAGGAAGGCAGUGUGAGUUGUAUUAGUCAUGUCUGUCCAACUCUGAAUAUAAUCCUUGUUUUGAGUGACUAGAAUUUAGUAACUACCUAAGAAAGAAUAUAUUUUUACCAAUAGAUUCAUUAAAAGUGUAAAAGGUCUAGGAAAACAACAAAUACCAAGAUUAAUUAAGUGUGCAUUCAGAUGAAUGCAUUAAUUGGUCAAAAUCUAAAGAAGCAGCUCAUAAAAUCCGCACAUCACGGUUCACUGAGAAUGCUGUCUGGGAGUCUGAACUCUCACUACAGUUCCUGGAACAGGUCCAUGUAAUAGAUUUGUGUGUUUAGUCUAUGAAAUUGUAAAGCUAUUCUGCACAGCGUCUGCAUUGCAGAAUGGAGAUGGUCAACACUGUCAGCUGACCUGUGCUUUCACCUGCGCCGACUUCCCUUCCCUCUCAGGUGCCAUGAGCCAACACCUGAGGACAUUUUUUGUUGUUAGGACCAGGAAUGCUAGCUCUUUGUGGUAGGGAACAGCCAUGGAGAGUGGUCCAAUAGCAAUAGGUCAGCCACUUACCACAGAGCAUGACCCAGAGAAAUGUUAGUAGUGUGAAAACUGAGAAACCCCAAGGUAAACCAAAAGAAAAGCUUGACUGCUCAUACUAUUUGCCUUUUAGGACAUAGGCACAGUGUUCAUGUUGCAAACAGCAUUGCUGCAACCUUUAUUAUUUUAUAGUGACAAUUCAUAGGUGUAUUAUAUAUAUAACUUUUUGUGUGUUUGGUUAGAUGAUGUAGCUAAGCAAGAAAGAGAGAGAGAGAUUGCUUCAUAGGGGGACAGGAGAGGAUGCAGAGACUGCAAAGGAGCACCCACAUAGGGACUUCCAUUCUAGUCAACUGCAGCUUGCAAAUUGCUUUGGUUUUCAAGCUCCUGAGUGAGGAUGGCUGCUAUUUGAUUUCAAUCACACUUCACUAAAAAUUACACCAGGUGGAAAGUGAGUCAUCCCACCAGAAAUAAAGCUUGUACGUGAAAGAUCUUUUCACAGACUGACUGUGGACUCAUAUACUCACUAUAAAUUGCUUUACAAAAGUGCAUAGCAGUCAUGUGCCUGAACUAGCUUGUUUACUUUUAUGACUUUGUCAAGGGGGGGGAGUAGAUGGAGGGACUUCUCAGCCCUUAAGAGUGCUGACUGCUCUUGCAGAGGACCUGAGUUCAGUUCCUGACACAUGCAGCUGUGCAGCUGCCUAUCACUCCAGUUCCAAGGGAUCUGGUGUUCUCUUCUGGCCUCCAUGGACACUGCAUGCAAGCAAGAACAUAUACAUACAUAUAAUAAGUAAAUGCAUCUUAAUAAAGGUAGAAAAUUAAUUCUGUAAAGUGGCAGAUGGUCAGGUAGGACCCUUUCCGCUUCUUGGCUGGGAAGCCAGUCAUCUAUAGUUUUAAUUUCUAUGCUUGAAAAAUAUCAACUUUAUGGAAGUUUUUGCUGGCAAAUCCUCAUCAGGAGGGAUCUAAUGAGAACAUCAGUCACUAGUGCACUGAGGGUCUUCACCUUAGGAGCUGCAGUGCCUAAGCUUGCACUUGCUAAUCAAGGCGCUCCCAUAGCCGAGCCUGGUCACCUUGACCCAGUUGCAGCCCUGCAUAUGAUCAUGAGGAGUAGAGCUCUAUUCUCUGUGUACACAGAUGAACUUGCUGAAACCCCAAAGCUAGGGAGAGAGCAAAUACCCCAUAGUUCCUGUGCUGUGUCUCUGAAAUCAUGGACUUCUGAAGCCCAGAGUCCACAUUUAGUCUUUAAAUGUGAGGUCCUAUACAGUCCAUGUUUUAUAAGUGGGAGAGUCUUAAAUUUGUAGACAUCACACACACACACACACACACACACACACACACACACACACACACACACACACACACACACACACACACACGAAUAUGAAUAGUAUCUGCCUUAUUCUCAGCCUUAAUGUUGACAUUUUCACAUACAUCCCAGAGAUGAAUGAUUGAUGUUUGCGUAUGAAUGGAAAGGUCAUUCAUACUAUUCACACUAUCUAACCUUUCUCAUUGAAUGAGGAAGACACCUGCUUCUGCUUCCUUGUUUGGGUUUUCUCUCUGUUGCUGAUUUUUGUAGUUUCUUCUUUUAACACAUAGAAACAAACAUAUUGAAAUGAAUUAUAAUAUUGUGAUCACUUGAGCCAAAGGCUUUGACUAUCACUUGUUAGGGCACAAAAGAGGAAUUAUAUUUUGUGGUUACUCAUUUGCCUAUGACUCUCAGUCUCAGUGCUGUGUUAAAAACCUUCUUGGUUUUGCUUUUCAAUUGAAGCUUUGGGAUUCAAUCAACGACACAAAGUUGUCCAAGGAUUUUAUGGUGUAAUACCCGAAUAUAGUGAUCAUAUUUUUUCUAACUUCUGUGUCAGUAGACUCCUCCAGGUAACUGUCACUUGCAAAUGUAUGCUUCAUGCAAUGACAAUAAACACCAAGACAUGUGUGUCACUUAGUUCAAAACAGAGAAAACUGGAUUCAUGGAAUUCUGCAUUUCUCUGUAUAGUAACAGAAAGGAAAAAUGCAAUAGAGAAAAGAUGUAACCAAAAGAGAACUAAGAGAAAAUAUUGAUUUUUUUUUUCUCCACUGCAAAGGACUUAUGGAGGGGUCUCAGCCUCAGAAGGAAUCUCAGCAGACAGGAAGGAAGGGAUUGCUGUCUUAGAAUGCAUUUGCAAGAAUGGCAUGGUUUCAAGGUAACUGAAAGGAAGUGUAUUGCCAUGCCAUCAUUAGGGUUAGGAUGAAAAGAUGCUAGAUGGACCUUGGGUAUGGAUUGCGAGGCUGUUGCAAGGAAGUCUCGAAGCGGGUACCUCUUUUCUCAUGUGGAUCUUGGAGGUCUUGGAGGCCUCAGGUUCCUGCGCUUCCCACUAGGCGGCACCGUCCUGGGUGCCUGCGUUCAGAGAAGCAAACACCUCCAUGUCCCUCUGUUACCUGCCUUUUUGUUCGUACUCUCAAAGUGAGUUAUAAUUUAGCUCUCCUGUCAAGAUGAUACAGUGAUGGUGGUAAUUAUCACCCUGAUGUUGACUGGUAGAUGUGGUCAUUAUACACUGCACAUAGCAAGAGUUACUGUGAGCUUCCUGUCCCCACAAUGAUUCCCAAGAGAGGCGAUGGCAACUUAGAUUCAUUAUCCUUCAUGUUUCAGUUCAAUCUUUCUUCCUCCCUCCCUGUCUCCCUCCUCCCUUAUAUUAUUUAUGUCCACAGAAAAUAGAAAAUAACUGAUUUGGUAAUGUUGGGGAGUGGCAGAGGGUGCCUUAACUUUUCCUGGCUCGGCUCCCCACUUACAUAUUCCCUUCAUGUGUUUGUUGUUUUGCAGAUAUUUCCAUGUCUGUCCAACUUGUACCUUUAUCAUCAGCAAGACCCUUUUAAAUGUAGCAAAUGGGACUAUUUUAUAGAAAUUCAUGAUAGUAUAUAGGCCUUGGAGAAGUCUGAUAAUGGUGUGUAAAUAUCCUUUGCUCAGUUGUGGAACAUUUAUCUAAGGUCUUUUAGGUGAUAGCUACAGGAAGAUUCCUAGAGUUAAGGAUGUUUUUCCAGAAAAUUCCAGUAUUCACAGAAGCAAGAAACCAACCUAUUGCGGUUUUCCAUUCUGUCAUCAGCACUGACAGGCUUCUCUCUCCACAGUUAGGGUGACUGAUGGCUACCGUGGUGCACCAUAGAGACUACAUACAAGAAAGGGAGAGAAAAGACAUACAACACACGACUCUAAAGCCUGCUUCAUCUUUACAAAACUCAAUAAUAUCACUAGACUAAUAGUUACCAUGCAGGAUACUUUGAUCUGCAAAAUAUUGGGGGACUAUUUUUGCCUUUAGCCUCUAUCAUUGCUUAUUCCAGACGAUUCCACAGGUGUGCAAGCUGUUCUAUCAGUGCAUAUUUUCAGAGGUUGGGAAAGAGUAAAAAUAGGAAAAUUUAAAUAUUCUUUCUCAUGUAGUGUCUACUGGUCCAUGGAUAUAAUAUUCUAUAAAGCUUUUAGGUCAGAUUAUAAAAUUGAAGUCAACCUUUGAAGUGUUUGUAGAGUGGCUUCCUCCUAUUAAAGCCAAAUUUGACUGACAGGAAGUGUGGGGUAACCCAAUGCUCUUCAUUUCUUUUCUUUUUAAUAAUUUUAUAUAAAAUGUAGCAGGUAAGGAAAUAGGUUUAAUUGGUACUUUUUAUGGUGUGACUUGAAAAAAUGGUGCCUAUCUGUUGGCUGAGAUGAACAGUGAUGUGCCCAGAGGGUCACUGGAAAAACUGUCUUUUCUUUGCGGUGAUCAUGAACCGCGGCUAGCAGUGAGAAGAUUAACUGGUCUCAGUUUCUCUACCUCCCUUCCUUGGAGAAUAUUUGGAAAUGUACCCUGUGAAUAAAAUGGGAUUCUUUUCAA
Onychomys torridus (southern grasshopper mouse) is the source of this 8054-nucleotide RNA transcript. It is a transcript of the gene named ST8 alpha-N-acetyl-neuraminide alpha-2,8-sialyltransferase 1, with no coding region annotated. The transcript is spliced from 6 exons. NCBI's taxonomy places the organism in Eukaryota, Metazoa, Chordata, Mammalia, Rodentia, Cricetidae. The record is from RefSeq and is a predicted model, not a curated record.